CCGAGUAUCCUAAAAACUCAAAAUACCUAAUCUUUAGAAAGUGUCUCCGAAAAUUCUUCAAGUCUGCCAUUGUUAAUGACCUUCUCUCAUGCAUUAAAAUUGGAAGAGAAAGACAGAAGCAAAGGUGGAGAACGAGGGAAUAGUGAGGUUGGAGUAGCGACAAUGCAAAGGUAAUUUGACCAAAUUUAAAAUGUCCUUUUCUGUUGCAUGUGGGUUAUAUUGGGUGGGUUUUUAUACUGUAAAAGAUAUUUAGGAACACAAAUGAAUUGACAUGCAUCUUUAACAGUGUUUGUACAGUAAUUGGUCCAAUGAAAGGUGACAUAAUAAGAUUCUUUUUGUGGAACGGUGGGGUACAAUGUAGGAAGUUGUCCAACUUUCUCUAUCUGUG
This 388-nucleotide unclassified non-coding RNA is filed under the name Hevea brasiliensis (rubber tree). The record is from RNAcentral. Lineage: Eukaryota; Viridiplantae; Streptophyta; Magnoliopsida; Malpighiales; Euphorbiaceae.